CCUGUGCCAGCUGCUCCCCGGCCCGGGCCCGUUCCUGCUCCAGAGUCUUCCGCUGUUCCCGCAGCUGGUCCCGCUCCUGCUCCAGCUGCCACCAGGUGUCGGGGGCUCUGCAUCCACUCCCCCCAUCCUCGGUCCCUGUAGGCCAGCCAUCCCCAAGGCCUGCCCCGGGGCACUGUCUUCCCUCCCUCAGGCCUGGCCCAGGGGCACUCUCUUCCCUCCCUCAGGCCUGGCCAGGGCUAGUCAGGCUCCCUUGUCCCCAAAACCUCAAACCAGGAGAGGAAGUGAUCUGGGAGGAUGGAAAGAAGGCCUAGGGCUGGGAGACCCACAGCCACCUGGGAAACAGGUUCCAGCGAGGCCCGCCCCACUGGCCCUUGUCUCACCUGGAGAGCCAGGUGGUUCAGGGCACUUUUGUCCUGAGCCAACCCCUCCAUCAAGGCGGCCAUUGCGGCCAGGGAGUCCCUUUGCUCCACUCCCUCCGACUUCAGCCGCCUCACAAGAAGCUCCAGGUCCGCAUUGCUGCACUCGGCCUGGGGCAGGGAGGGGGAUGCCAGGGAGGGACCUUCAGCUUCCAGGGCAGGGCUGUUGCCGCUGGGAAAGGAGUGAGCCCUGAGCCACGGAGGUGUGCAAGCCAGAGCUCUUGGGCGGACAUGGUGGGAAGGUCGCCACAGUGGGGAGGUCUCAGGGCCAAUGGUGGCUCCAGGCACUAAGGCUCCAGCCAGAGGAGGUGGCUGGUGGUCCAGGGAGAGGCCACAAAGAAGCAGGCGUGGCCAGCAGGGUUGACAGCAGCUGGGCCAGGCUGGUGCCUACUGGUUGGGGACGGGAGAGAACUUUGGUGACUUUGGGAUCUCUGGUGAUGGGCUGAGGGGCCCGGCAGGCAGGAGAGAGGGAGUGGGAGGCCAGCUGUGCUGUGCUCAGUGCCUCCCGGACCGAUGCCAGCUCCUCUCUGAGCCCGGAGACCUUCUCCUCCAGCUGCUGCAGGCGGCCUUGACUGAGGCCCCAGACCAGAGGGCGGGAGGUCGCUCAGGGUGAGCAGUGGCUGCCCCAUGGGAUUUCAGGCAGGCGACCACCUGCAACUCCCUCCAAGCCCAGGGAGGCCCAGGAGGAGCAUGGAGUCCCUGGAGGACCAGGAAGGCAGGGAGCCCUUCGCUUCCAGGCUUCAUUUCCGGGGCAGGGGAGGCACAAGUGCCUCCGGGGGGACGGGAGGGGUGGGGCCCCACAUCUGAUGGGCCCACGGGGUGGUGGCCCAGGUGGGGCACUGGGCCAGAGGAAGUGAGGGUUGGUCUGGAGGAUGGUGCAGCCUGGGGAGAAGCCUGGAGAGCCCCCGCCCCUGCCCUGUUAGGGCCACCACACCCUGAGAUGAGACAGGUGAAAAAGCAGACCCGUGGCCCAAGGCCAAGUGGCUGAUGGUGGCAGAGUGGGGUCUCUUCUGUGGGAGGGGCCCUGCCCACCCAGCCACGGCCGCGCACCUGGUCUCCAGUGCCCUGCAGCUCCGCUCCCUCCGCAGAGCCAGCUCCUCCCUCCGCUCUGCCUGC
This 1532-nucleotide long non-coding RNA is filed under the name Homo sapiens (human). Its description in RNAcentral is "HSALNT0049835". The record is from RNAcentral. Lineage: Eukaryota; Metazoa; Chordata; Mammalia; Primates; Hominidae.